CGGUAAUUACUUUUGGGUGGUCUGCUGUGAGAUGAGUGUUUAGCACGGAGGUGGAACCGAGGGCAGCUCUGCCACUGAACUGCAACCCCAUCCUUUUCUUAAGAUUUUAUUUUGAGACAGGGUCUUGCAGAGUCGCUAAAUUGUCCAGACUGUGCUCAAACUUGCCAUCCUCCUGCCUCAGCCUCCCAGAGUGCUGGGAUUAAGCCACCGGGCCAGGCUUCUAUUUUGUUUACAGAGAGGGUAUGGCUAAACUGCCCAGGCAGGAAUGGAACUUCCAACCCUCAGCCUCAGCCUCCGCAGUGCUGAACGUUCAGGGUUCAGGUGUGCACCACUCCACAGGGCUUCCUGCCUUCACACACAAGCCAGUUCCUUUCCUGUUUUUGCUCAGAGAGGAAAGGGUCUGGCUGAAAGCUUUAUCCUCUGCCCUCCACCCCAUGACAAAAAGCGACAGCGCCCAGAGCGACAGCGGAGCGGAAAGCUCCAGGCCACGCCCCCGGAACGCUCCGGGCCAGCCUUUGAACUCCGAGGC
This 529-nucleotide long non-coding RNA is filed under the name Fukomys damarensis (Damara mole-rat). RNAcentral's name for it is "lncRNA (ENSFDAG00000030924.1)". The record is from RNAcentral. Lineage: Eukaryota; Metazoa; Chordata; Mammalia; Rodentia; Bathyergidae.